Molecule: ribosomal RNA, 465 nt
Filed under: Vreelandella stevensii
Lineage: Bacteria; Pseudomonadati; Pseudomonadota; Gammaproteobacteria; Oceanospirillales; Halomonadaceae
Description: partial 16S ribosomal RNA
Rfam family: Bacterial small subunit ribosomal RNA
Source: RNAcentral
CCUACGGGUGGCUGCAGUGGGGAAUAUUGGACAAUGGGCGAAAGCCUGAUCCAGCCAUGCCGCGUGUGUGAAGAAGGCCUUCGGGUUGUAAAGCACUUUCAGUGGGGAAGAAAGCCUUGGGGCUAAUACCCUCGAGGAAGGACAUCACCCACAGCAGAAGCACCGGCUAACUCCGUGCCAGCAGCCGCGGUAAUACGGAGGGUGCGAGCGUUAAUCGGAAUUACUGGGCGUAAAGCGCGCGUAGGCGGUCUGAUAAGCCGGUUGUGAAAGCCCCGGGCUCAACCUGGGAACGGCAUCCGGAACUGUCAGGCUAGAGUGCAGGAGAGGAAGGUAGAAUUCCCGGUGUAGCGGUGAAAUGCGUAGAGAUCGGGAGGAAUACCAGUGGCGAAGGCGGCCUUCUGGACUGACACUGACGCUGAGGUGCGAAAGCGUGGGUAGCAAACAGGAUUAGAUACCCCUGUAGUC